RNAcentral lists this unclassified non-coding RNA (363 nucleotides) under fungal sp. RNAcentral's name for it is "partial internal transcribed spacer region". The stretch from base 1 to 46 matches the Rfam family "Eukaryotic small subunit ribosomal RNA", at positions 1786 to 1831 of the family's 1831-position model. Lineage: Eukaryota; Fungi. The record is from RNAcentral.
AAGUCGUAACAAGGUUUCCGUAGGUGAACCUGCGGAAGGAUCAUUAUCACGUUGCAAAACACUUAUCAACCUUUGUGCACUCGGUUCCUUCAGAGCAAUUUUUGGGUUUUGGGUGGCUUGGUUGUUUGUUGAUUUGGUCUUUCGAAAGAAAGAGAACACCAGCCAUCUAUGGUUAAUUCCAGCCCUGUUCUGAAGAGCUGUUUUUUGCGGUACCACAUCAGCCGCGUCUUGUUUCACCUUUUUUCCUUUUUAAACCCCUGUACGAUUUAUGAACUGAUUUGGUUCUUUGCUGAUCUUUUGGUCGGUAAAGAAUUCACUUAAAAAACAUCAAAACAACUCUUAACAACGGAUAUCUUGGUUCCC